AUUAUUCUAUAAUCUACUUUAUUAUUUUAUUAUGAUUAAUAUUUGUAUAUUUCAUGUACUCAACACAAAUGCCUGGUAACACAACAGGAGUUCUUGGAAGGGGAAACUGCUUGAAUAAAGGCAACGCAAUAGGAGAUCUUCAGAAGUUAGCACAUUAAGACCACAGGAAACCUAGGGCAAGCUGGGGGAAGUUGUGGAGAGAGGUGGAAAGAUUGUUUGGGACCUGAGGCUUUUUAUUCCACAUGGAAGAAUUUGAAUGCAAUCCCCCUGAUAAUGGGAAGCCAUGGGUGAUCAGAUCUAUUUUGGAUAAAUACGGCACAAAUGUUUUUUCUAAGUUUGUGACAUGUCUUUUCAUUUCGUUUGUGGUAGGUUUCCAGGAGUGGCACUUACUUCUUUUAAUGUAGUCAUAUUUAUUGUUUCUCUGUAUUUUGUUUAAGAACAACUUCUCUCUUAUGUUAUAUAUGUAUUAAUAGUUUAUCGUUUUCUAAUGUUUUGUAGUUUUGCCCUGCACAUUUAUGCAGUUUAUCCACAAAAUAUUUCUGUGAAAAGUCAGAAUUGUAAUUUAUUUUUCCCCAUAUGCAUAACAAAUGUAGAGGACACUACCCAUUGAGUAAUCCGUCCUCUCCCCACUUAUCUGCAGUGACAGAUUUCACAAGGAUUACAUUCCUACAUUGCCAUUAGUCUGUUCUUAGAGUUCUACUCUCUUCAAUUUGGUCUGUUUUUUUUUUUUAUCAUUAAGUCAAAAUCACACUGUUUUAAUUGGUAGCCUUUAAAACAAAUCUUUAUAUUUUGUUAAUAAAUCUUUAUAUCUUGUUUCCCAUCAUGUUAUUUUCUUUAAUAUUUUGACAAUCUUUUGGCCUUUAUCUUCUCGUAUGUAUUUUAGAUUAAGUUGUCAAUUUCUGUCAAUCAUCUACUGUCUUUUCUAUUGGAAUUAGAUCACAUCUUAGGUUAAUUUUGGGUGAACCAGCAUCGCUACUUGAGUCUUCCCAUCCAUGAGUAUAGUAUGUUUUUCCUUUUAUUUUGGUUUAUAUGAUAGUUUUUCAAAAACCAUAAUUUUAUCCACACAUCACCAUAUGUCAAGUGUUAGUUCUAUUCAUUGAUAUCUUACACAUAGCUUGACCUUUGAAAUACUGUUUGGUGCUGAUAAUUAACACAUGACUUCAUUUAUUUGCUUCUCACGUGUCAGGUUAUUGGUAGCUUU
RNAcentral lists this long non-coding RNA (1201 nucleotides) under Callithrix jacchus (white-tufted-ear marmoset). RNAcentral describes it as "lncRNA (ENSCJAG00000079536.1)". The record is from RNAcentral. Lineage: Eukaryota; Metazoa; Chordata; Mammalia; Primates; Cebidae.